GUGGGGAAUCUUGCGCAAUGGGCGGAAGCCUGACGCAGCCAUGCCGCGUGAAUGAUGAAGGUCUUAGGAUUGUAAAAUUCUUUCACCGGGGACGAUAAUGACGGUACCCGGAGAAGAAGCUCCGGCUAACUUCGUGCCAGCAGCCGCGGUAAUACGAAGGGGGCUAGCGUUGCUCGGAAUUACUGGGCGUAAAGGGCGCGUAGGCGGACAGCUUAGUCAGAGGUGAAAGCCCAGGGCUCAACCUUGGAAUUGCCUUUGAUACUGGCUGUCUUGAGUUUGGGAGAGGUGAGUGGAACUCCGAGUGUAGAGGUGAAAUUCGUAGAUAUUCGGAAGAACACCAGUGGCGAAGGCGACUCACUGGCCCAAUACUGACGCUGAGGCGCGAAAGCGUGGGGAGCAAACAGGAUUAGAAACCCCAGUAGUCC
This 425-nucleotide ribosomal RNA is filed under the name uncultured bacterium. RNAcentral describes it as "partial 16S ribosomal RNA". It matches the Rfam family "Bacterial small subunit ribosomal RNA", at positions 354 to 796 of the family's 1533-position model. The record is from RNAcentral.